AAACCAACAGGGAUUGCCUUAGUAACGGCGAGUGAAGCGGCAAAAGCUCAAAUUUGAAACCCUCGGGAUUGUAAUUUGAAGAUUUGGCAUUGGAGAAAGCUAACCCAAGUUGCUUGGAAUAGUACGUCAUAGAGGGUGACAACCCCGUCUGGCUAACCGUUCUCCAUGUAUUGCCUUAUCAAAGAGUCGAGUUGUUUGGGAAUGCAGCUCAAAGUGGGUGGUAAACUCCAUCUAAAGCUAAAUACUGGUGAGAGACCGAUAGCGAACAAGUACUGUGAAGGAAAGGUGAAAAGAACUUUGAAAAGAGAGUGAAAUAGUAUGUGAAAUUGUUGAUAGGGAAGGAAAUGAGUGGAGAGUGGCCGAGGUUUCAGCCGCCCCUCGUGGGCGGUGUACUGCCGACGCCGAGUCAUCGAUAGCGAGACGAGGGUUACAAAUGGGAGCGCCUUUCGGGCGUUCUCCCCUAACCCUCCACACUGCCACCGACGACAUAAUCCACCCAUUUCACCCGUCUUGAAACACGGACCAUGCA
Molecule: ribosomal RNA, 529 nt
Filed under: Yarrowia lipolytica
Lineage: Eukaryota; Fungi; Ascomycota; Dipodascomycetes; Dipodascales
Description: partial large subunit ribosomal RNA
Rfam family: Eukaryotic large subunit ribosomal RNA
Source: RNAcentral